CCUACGGGAUGCAGCAGUGAGGAAUAUUGGUCAAUGGACGCAAGUCUGAACCAGCCAUGCCGCGUGCAGGAAGACGGCUCUAUGAGUUGUAAACUGCUUUUGUACGAGGGUAAACGCAGAUACGCGUAUCUGUCUGAAAGUAUCGUACGAAUAAGGAUCGGCUAACUCCGUGCCAGAAGCCGCGGUAAUACGGAGGAUUCAAGCGUUAUCCGGAUUUAUUGCGUUUAAAGGGUGCGUAGGCGGUCGGAUAAGUUAGAGUUGAAAUCCCGAGGCUCAACUUCUGAAUUGCCUCUGAUACUGUUCGGCUAGAGAGUAGUUGCGGUAGGCGGAAUGUAUGGUGUAGCGGUGAAAUGCUUAGAGAUCAUACAGAACACCGAUUGCGAAGGCAGCUUACCAAGCUACUUCUGACGUUGAGGCACGAAAGCGUGGGGAGCAAACAGGAUUAGAUACCCGAGUAGUC
Molecule: ribosomal RNA, 460 nt
Filed under: uncultured bacterium
Lineage: Bacteria
Description: partial 16S ribosomal RNA
Rfam family: Bacterial small subunit ribosomal RNA
Source: RNAcentral